This 675-nucleotide ribosomal RNA is filed under the name uncultured bacterium. Its description in RNAcentral is "bacterial SSU rRNA". It matches the Rfam family "Bacterial small subunit ribosomal RNA", at positions 1 to 710 of the family's 1533-position model. The record is from RNAcentral.
AGAUUAGAGUUUGAUCAUGGCUCAGAACGAACGCUGGCGGCAUGCCUAACACAUGCAAGUCGAACGAAGGCCCUAGCUUGCUAGGUGUCCUUAGUGGCGAACGGGUGAGUAACGCGUGGGAAUCUGCCAUAGAGUGGGGAACAACUUUUGGAAACGAAAGCUAAUACCGCAUACGCCCUCCGGGGGAAAGGCUUCGGCCGCUCUUUGAUGAUCCCGCGUCUGAUUAGCUUGUUGGUAGGGUAACGGCUUACCAAGGCGACGAUCAGUAGCUGGUCUGAGAGGAUGAUCAGCCACACUGGGACUGAGACACGGCCCAGACUCCUACGGGAGGCAGCAGUGGGGAAUAUUGGACAAUGGGGGAAACCCUGAUCCAGCAAUGCCGCGUGAGUGAAGAAGGCCUUAGGGUUGUAAAACUCUUUCGCCGGUGAAGAUGAUGACUGUAGCCGGUAAAGAAGCCCCGGCUAACUCCGUGCCAGCAGCCGCGGUAAUACGGAGGGGGCUAGCGUUGUUCGGAUUUACUGGGCGUAAAGCGCACGUAGGCGGCAUAUUAAGUUAGAGGUGAAAGGCCUGGGCUCAACCUAGGAACUGCCUUUAAUACUGGUAUGCUUGAGUUCGGAAGAGGGUAGUGGAAUUCCAAGUGUAGAGGUGAAAUUCGUAGAUAUUUGGAAGAACACC